Balaenoptera acutorostrata (minke whale) is the source of this 277-nucleotide long non-coding RNA. RefSeq lists it as uncharacterized. The transcript has 3 exons. Lineage: Eukaryota; Metazoa; Chordata; Mammalia; Artiodactyla; Balaenopteridae. The record is from RefSeq and is a predicted model, not a curated record.
GUUCAGCGUCGGAAAAAAAAAAAAAAAAAAAAAAGAGGAAGUUGCCAGUUAUUCAGAAGAAAUCCCUUAUCCAGGUUCUGCGUUGGCAAGGAGCUAGGUCACAGUCACCAUCAUCUUAAGCCAUUUUACUAAGGCUGAGUCCAGGGUACCGGACCACUAAAAGGCCUUCAGCUGCUGAAGAGAUAAUGAGCUUCCCAAAGCCUCAGCAAGAUGGUGGCCCAACCCUGCCCAGACUGGAAGAACCAUUCUGGCUGCUGAGAACAGCGUAAGAACCUGC